CUAUAUGAACCUUGUCUUAGGACAAUUGGGUUUAAUGCAUGUGCAUAAAGUGUCGUCCCAGAUAAGCCUGUGCAGUUUCCUUGUUUAAUGGUGUUUUUAUUUUAAAGAAGUAUUUUCUAAAUGAAAUCCGGUUUUGGCAGAAAGCAUUGUCCCUGAUAAACCUGUGUGGACAUCACAGGUUUAUCUGGGACGACAUUUUAGGCACAUUUAUUGAGCUCAGUUAUUGCAGAACGAGUCUGUAUUCUCAAGAUUGUAAUACACAGUUAUGGGAUUCACAUCUUUUUAGCUCACCUGAGCACAAUGUCCUCAUGGUGAGCUUUUGUGAUCGCCUUUUGUCUGUUGUCCGUUGUGCGGUGUGCGGCGUCAACAUUUGCCUUGUUAACUCUCUAGAGGGCACAUUUAUUGUCCAAUCUUCAUGAAAUUUGGUCAGAAGAUUGGUCUCAAUGAUAUCUUUGAUGAGUUUGAAAAUAAUUAUGUUUGCUUGAAAAACAUGGCUUCCAAGGGGCGGGGCAAUUUUCCUUAUAUGGCUUUAGUAAAAUCUUGUUAACACUCUAGAGGCCACAUUUACAGUCCGAUCUUCAUAAAACUUGGUCAGAAGAUUCAUACCAAUAAUAUCUUGGAAGAG
Dreissena polymorpha is the source of this 625-nucleotide long non-coding RNA. RefSeq lists it as uncharacterized. The record is from RefSeq and is a predicted model, not a curated record. NCBI's taxonomy places the organism in Eukaryota, Metazoa, Mollusca, Bivalvia, Myida, Dreissenidae. The transcript is spliced from 2 exons.